AAAAAGGCGACAGCGACAUUUUGCUAAUAUCUUGAUUGACAAGUUCUUUACGGUAUUAACUAAAGCCAUGUUUGAUAGCUUGAUUUCCACUGGAAUGCAACCAAAAUGUUCUUAAGACAAGCAUCCAUAAUAACUGAAUUCAAUUUCUCAGUCCUGAUCUUGGAGACCCGUAUGUACGCCAGUGUGUGUUCUAACCAUAGUAGUAAGCUUUGUAUUACAAUGAGCUGCUAAUUGUUCUUAAUUGGCCUUUUUGAAUGACAAAUUAUCCCCUUGAACCCUCAUUAUGCCAGAAAUAGUAAUGUAUGCCCUUAAAAAUAAAUGUCCCAUAUUCACAUUCACUUAUGCUUUCAUUUACUGUGCUGUAUGCACUAUAUGGAAAAUAAUUUCAGUUGAAAGAGGUUCCAUAGCAAAUUGAUUCACUUAAAAACUGACAGGUGAACUCAGUUGGGUCCCAUUUUCUCAGUGUUUGGGAACCUGAAACUAUUUGUGUAAUAUAAAUGGAGUUUACUGACAGAAAAUGGCAACAAGCCAAACAUGCAUUGUUUUACACACAAUUAUG
Anguilla anguilla (European eel) is the source of this 559-nucleotide long non-coding RNA. RefSeq lists it as uncharacterized. NCBI's taxonomy places the organism in Eukaryota, Metazoa, Chordata, Actinopteri, Anguilliformes, Anguillidae. The transcript is spliced from 2 exons. The record is from RefSeq and is a predicted model, not a curated record.